GAUGAAGAACGCAGCGAAAUGCGAUACGUAAUGUGAAUUGCAGAAUUCAGUGAAUCAUCGAAUCUUUGAACGCAUAUUGCGCUCUCUGGUAUUCCGGAGAGCAUGCUUGUUUGAGUAUCAGUAAACACCUCAACUCCCUUUCUUCUUGAAAUGGAGCUGGACUUGAGUGAUCCCAACGCUUUAUUCAUAAAGUGGCGGGUUACUUGAAAUGCAGGUGCAGCUGGACUUUUCUCUGAGCUAUAAGCAUAUCUAUUUAGUCUGCCUCAAAACAGAUUAUUACCUUUGCUGCAGCUAACAUAAAGGAGAUUAGUUCUUGUGCUGACUGAUGCAGGAUUCACAAAGACCGCUUCGGCUGUCUUUGUAAACUCGAUCUCAAAUCAAGUAAGACUACCCGCUGAACUUAAGCAUAUCAAUAAGCGGAGG
RNAcentral lists this unclassified non-coding RNA (423 nucleotides) under soil metagenome. RNAcentral describes it as "partial contains 5.8S ribosomal RNA, internal transcribed spacer 2, and large subunit ribosomal RNA". The stretch from base 1 to 120 matches the Rfam family "5.8S ribosomal RNA", at positions 35 to 154 of the family's 154-position model. The record is from RNAcentral.